RNAcentral lists this non-coding RNA (25 nucleotides) under Cricetulus griseus (Chinese hamster). Lineage: Eukaryota; Metazoa; Chordata; Mammalia; Rodentia; Cricetidae. The record is from RNAcentral.
UGGGUGAGAAUUAGAGUGGCUGGAG